This is a non-coding RNA of Triticum aestivum (bread wheat), 134 nucleotides long. The record is from Rfam. Lineage: Eukaryota; Viridiplantae; Streptophyta; Magnoliopsida; Poales; Poaceae.
UAUAUACUCCCUCCGGCCGGAAAUACUUGUCAUCAAAAUGGAUAAAAGGGAUGUAUCUAGAUGUAUUUUAGUUUUAGAUACAUCCCUUUUUGUCCAUAUUGAUGACAAGUAUUUUUGGACGUAUGGAGUAUAAU